Molecule: non-coding RNA, 212 nt
Organism: Paenibacillus antarcticus
Lineage: Bacteria; Bacillati; Bacillota; Bacilli; Caryophanales; Paenibacillaceae
Source: Rfam
AUAUAAUAAACUUGUGAGGUCUAGAAAUUAGAAGUAUAAAUUGUUACCUCUAUGCCUAGUUAAAAGGGAAGCCGGUGUAAUUCCGGUACGGUCCCGCCACUGUGAAACAGGGAUAUUCUCAAUGUACCACUGUUCUGCGUCAAGCAGGAUGGGAAGGUGAGGAUAUUAGCUAACCUGUUAGUCAGGAGACCUGCCUUACGAGAAGUACGACG